AGUGGUGUAGCUUAGUGGUAAAGCACUUGCCUAGCAUGUAUAAGGCCCUGGGUUCAAUCCCUAGCACUGCCC
This is a transfer RNA of Neotoma lepida (desert woodrat), 72 nucleotides long. It matches the Rfam family "tRNA". From Rfam's summary of the family: Transfer RNA (tRNA) molecules are approximately 80 nucleotides in length. Their secondary structure includes four short double-helical elements and three loops (D, anti-codon, and T loops). Lineage: Eukaryota; Metazoa; Chordata; Mammalia; Rodentia; Cricetidae. The record is from Rfam.